RNAcentral lists this ribosomal RNA (1950 nucleotides) under human gut metagenome. Its description in RNAcentral is "bacterial LSU rRNA". It matches the Rfam family "Bacterial large subunit ribosomal RNA", at positions 1 to 1983 of the family's 2925-position model. The record is from RNAcentral.
GAAAGUAAACAAGGGCGCAUGGAGGAUGCCUAGGCUCUCGGAGGCGAAGAAGGACGUGAUAAGCUGCGAAAAGUUACGGUAAGGCGCAAAUAGCCCUAGACCCGUAAAUAUCCGAAUGGGGCAACCCGGCCAGCAAUGGUCAUACCGCCAAGCGGUAAGCCAACGCGGGGAACUGAAACAUCUAAGUACCCGCAGGAAAAGAAAAUAACAAUGAUUCCGCCAGUAGUGGCGAGCGAACGCGGAACAGCCCAAACCACUCGUGUUACGGCACGAGUGGGGUAGAAGGAUCCACGAUACGGCAAGAAAUAAGUUAGCAGAAUACGAUGGAAAUCGUAGCCAAAGACGGUGACAGCCCAGUACGCGAAAACCGACAGAAGCCCAGUGGACACCUGAGUAACCCAGGACACGAGAAAUCCGGGGCGAAUCAGCGGGGCCCAUCCCGUAAGGCUAAAUACUCCCGAGAGACCGAUAGCGAACCAGUACUGUGAAGGAAAGGUGAAAAGAACCUCGAACAGAGGAGUGAAAGAGACCCUGAAACCAUGCGCCUACAAGCGGUCGGAGCAUGUUAAAAUGUGACGGCGUGCCUUUUGCAUAAUGAACCUACGAGUUACUCUCGCUGGCAAGGUUAAGCGAUUCAGUCGCGCAGCCGAAGCGAAAGCAAGUCCGAAUAAGGCGUACAGUCAGCGGGAGUAGACGCGAAACCAAGUGAUCUACCCUUGGUCAGGUUGAAGGUUGGGUAACACCAACUGGAGGACCGCACCGAUAAGCGUUGAAAAGCUUACGGAUGAACUGAGGGUAGGAGUGAAAGGCCAAUCAAACUUGGAGAUAGCUCGUACUCCCCGAAAUGCAUUUAGGUGCAGCCUCGAAGUAAAGUGAUAGAGGUAGAGCGACUGAUAAGAUGCGAGGGCUUCACCGCCUAUCAAGUCUUGACAAACUCCGAAUACUAUCACUUGAUCUUUGGGAGUGAGGGCAUGGGUGCUAAGGUCCAUGUCCGAAAGAGGAACAACUCAGACCACCAGCUAAGGUCCCGAAAUAAGGGCUAAGUUGAAUAAACGAAGUAAAACUGCAAAGACAGCUAGGAUGUUGGCUUGGAAGCAGCCAUUCAUUUAAAGAGUGCGUAACAGCUCACUAGUCGAGGAGUUUUGCAUGGAUAAUAAUCGGGCAUAAGCCCUUUACCGAAGCUGUGGAUGUCGUAAGACAUGGUAGGGGAGCAUUCCGGCGGCGACGAAGGCCGUCCUCGAGGACGACUGGAGCUUUCGGAAAAGCAAAUGUAGGUAUAAGUAACGAUAAAGGGGGCGUGAAACCCCCUCGCCAUAAGACUAAGGAUUCCUGAUCAACGCUAAUCGGAUCAGGGUAAGUCGGGCCCUAAGGCGCAGCCGAACGGCGUAGCCGAUGGAAGAAACGGUAAAGAUUCCGUUACUGGAUAUAGGAGCGAUGUGGAGACGGAGAAGUGACACACCCGCCUGCCGACGGAAGCGCAGGUUAAAGGAAGUAGGUAAACGCCGGGUAGGCAAAUCCGCCUGGCGUGCCGAAGCUGACAGUAUCGAGAGCCCCCGGGCAAUCGAAUAGCGGUGGUAAUCAGGCUCCCAAGAAAAUCCGCUAAGCAUAUUCUAUAUUCACCCGUACCCCAAACGGACACACGUAGUCGGGUAGAAUAUACCAAGGCGCUCGAAAGACUCACGGUUAAGGAACUAGGCAAAUUGACCCUGUAACCUCGGGAAAAAGGGUCCCCAGUAAGAUGGGGCGCAGAGAAUAGGUCCAGGCAACUGUUUAACAAAAACACAGGGCUGUGCGAAAUUUCAAGAUGAAGUAUACAGCCUGACACCUGCCCGGUGCCGGAAGGUUAAGAGGAGAGCUAAUCGCAAGAGAAGGCUUGAAUUGAAGCCCCGGUAAACGGCGGCCGUAACUAUAACGGUCCUAAGGUAGCGAAAUUCCUUGUCGGGUAAGUUC